UCCGAGUGACGGCUUCCCCAGACCGGUGGGUGCGGCCCGCGUGAGAGAGAGCAUGCAAACACGGACGGGGAGGAGCAGAGGGAGAGGGAGAGUCCCAAGAAGACUCUGGCCCGAGCGCUGUACCCCACGUGGAACACCAUCCCGAGACCGUGAUCUGAGCCAAAAAUAAGAGCCAGACAUUCAACAGACUGAACCACCCAAGUGCCUCAGCAACCAUUUGCAGAAGUAUCAUUAUCUCUGGUGGGAAACGGAGUCUCCAAGAAGUUCAAGUGACUCUCCCUGGGUGAGCACAUCAAAGUUCUUCCGGUCCCUAACCUUUAAUUAGACACUUUUCUGAAGCGUGAAGCUGGGCUAUGCUUGUCAGAACAGACACCGGAGGAGCACCUGGGUGGCUCAGUCAUUAGGUGUCUGCCUUUGGCUCCGGUUGUGAUCCUGGGAUUGAGACC
Long non-coding RNA from Neogale vison (American mink), 446 nucleotides. RefSeq lists it as uncharacterized. NCBI's taxonomy places the organism in Eukaryota, Metazoa, Chordata, Mammalia, Carnivora, Mustelidae. The transcript has 3 exons. The record is from RefSeq and is a predicted model, not a curated record.